This 497-nucleotide ribosomal RNA is filed under the name uncultured bacterium. RNAcentral's name for it is "partial 16S ribosomal RNA". It matches the Rfam family "Bacterial small subunit ribosomal RNA", at positions 28 to 507 of the family's 1533-position model. The record is from RNAcentral.
GAUGAACGCUGGCGGCGUGCCUAAUACAUGCAAGUCGAGCGAACAGACGAGGAGCUUGCUCCUCUGACGUUAGCGGCGGACGGGUGAGUAACACGUGGAUAACCUACCUAUAAGACUGGGAUAACUUCGGGAAACCGGAGCUAAUACCGGAUAAUAUAUUGAACCGCAUGGUUCAAUAGUUAAAGACGGUUUUGCCGUCCCUUAUAGAUGGAUCCGCGCCGCAUUAGCUAGUUGGUAAGGUAACGGCUUACCAAGGCGACGAUGCGUUGCCGACCUGAGCGGUGGAUCGGCCACACUGGAGCUGAAACGGGGACCAGGCUCCUACGGGGGGCAGCAGUAGGGAAUCUUCCGCAAUGGGCGAAAGCCUGACGGAGCAACCCCGCGUGAGUGAUGAAGGUCUUCGGUUCGUAAUACUCUGUUAUUAGGGAAGAACAAAUGUGUAAGUGACUAUGCACGUCUUGACGGUACCUAAACAGAAAGCAACGGCAAACUACGUG